This 370-nucleotide long non-coding RNA is filed under the name Mytilus galloprovincialis (Mediterranean mussel). The record is from RNAcentral. Lineage: Eukaryota; Metazoa; Mollusca; Bivalvia; Mytilida; Mytilidae.
CUGCCUUUUGCAUAUACUAGUAAUAUAUGAGUAAAUGAAAAUAUAUGUCAAACGUCAACUUUAUGACAACUUUAUAAAAUGAUUUAUGAAGAUGAUAAAAUAAAUACCUCCUGUAAAUCAAUAUUUACUCGAAACUUCUCAUCUAAAAUAAUCACCGUAAAACUUGCCUUGUCAGGUUCAUGGUAGUAUUGAAUGAUCAGCUCUCGUAGCCAAUAAUUAUAUGCAAAUGUUUAUUUGAAUAAAACAUGUUGAAAUGUUUGAGACUUUUUUGUUAUUAAUUAGCAGAGAAGUAAAGUAAGCAAAAAGCAUCUGUACUAUUUUUAAUAUAUACACAAACAUUUUGUUUCUUAUCAACAUAUACUCCCAUGAC